RNAcentral lists this transfer RNA (76 nucleotides) under Desulfurococcales archaeon. Its description in RNAcentral is "tRNA-Cys". It matches the Rfam family "tRNA". Rfam says of the family: Transfer RNA (tRNA) molecules are approximately 80 nucleotides in length. Their secondary structure includes four short double-helical elements and three loops (D, anti-codon, and T loops). Further hydrogen bonds mediate the characteristic L-shaped molecular structure. tRNAs have two regions of fundamental functional importance: the anti-codon, which is responsible for specific mRNA codon recognition, and the 3' end, to which the tRNAs corresponding amino acid is attached (by aminoacyl-tRNA synthetases). tRNAs cope with the degeneracy of the genetic code in two manners: having more than one tRNA (with a specific anti-codon) for a particular amino acid; and 'wobble' base-pairing, i.e. permitting non-standard base-pairing at the 3rd anti-codon position. Lineage: Archaea; Thermoproteati; Thermoproteota; Thermoprotei; Desulfurococcales. The record is from RNAcentral.
GCCGGGGUGGCCGAGGGGUUUAGGCGGCGGGCUGCAGACCCGUUUUACGCGGGUUCGAAUCCCGCCCCCGGCUCCA